This 356-nucleotide ribosomal RNA is filed under the name uncultured bacterium. Its description in RNAcentral is "bacterial SSU rRNA". It matches the Rfam family "Bacterial small subunit ribosomal RNA", at positions 157 to 507 of the family's 1533-position model. The record is from RNAcentral.
GCUACGCUAAUACCGCAUACGAUCUACGGAUGAAAGCGGGGGAUCGCAAGACCUCGCGCGAUUGGAGCGGCCGAUAUCAGAUUAGGUAGUUGGUGAGGUAAAGGCUCACCAAGCCGACGAUCUGUAGCUGGUCUGAGAGGACGACCAGCCACACUGGGACUGAGACACGGCCCAGACUCCUACGGGAGGCAGCAGUGGGGAAUUUUGGACAAUGGGCGCAAGCCUGAUCCAGCAAUGCCGCGUGCAGGAUGAAGGCCUUCGGGUUGUAAACUGCUUUUUGUACGGAACGAAACGGUGAGCUCUAAUACAGUUUGCUAAUGACGGUACCGUAAAAAUAAGCACCGGCUAACUACGUG